GUGCUCACUUAGUAUAUAUAGGCAGCACGUAUACUAAAAUUGGAAUGAUACAGAGAACAUUAGCAUGGCCCCUGGGCAAGGAGAGUGAAUGUGAAUUCAUAUUU
This is a small nuclear RNA of Pteropus vampyrus (large flying fox), 104 nucleotides long. The record is from Ensembl. Lineage: Eukaryota; Metazoa; Chordata; Mammalia; Chiroptera; Pteropodidae.